CAAAACACGUUGAUCAGACUAGUAGCUAAUGACCGUUAUUUAGCGAGCCAAUGUUGAUGGGAGAUUGGUAAACCGUAGUUAGCGAAUCACAUCUGGUAGUUAAUCGUCUGAAAAUAGUAGGAUGAUUCGGGAAGGCCCGUUAGCGCUGCGAGUUUAAAGUUUGAACUCUCUGAGGUGGUUAUCGUGAGGUAAUCAUAAAAAUGAGGUGGCACCGCGUCCUACGCCCUCAUCGUCGAUAUGACGAUGGGGGCUUUUUUUAGCUUUAAACUUGAUAAGGUGAUGAAUGUGAAUUGAUCACGAAAAAAGGUGGUACCACGCCCUGGCGUCCUUUGG
Molecule: non-coding RNA, 333 nt
Filed under: Limosilactobacillus gastricus
Lineage: Bacteria; Bacillati; Bacillota; Bacilli; Lactobacillales; Lactobacillaceae
Description: Lactobacillus gastricus T-box sequence
Rfam family: T-box leader (bases 1-231)
About the family: Uncharged tRNA acts as the effector for transcription antitermination of genes in the T-box leader family. T-boxes are found upstream of many aminoacyl-tRNA synthetase genes and some amino acid biosynthetic genes usually in Gram-positive bacteria. The anticodon of a specific tRNA base pairs to a specifier sequence within the T-box motif, and the NCCA acceptor tail of the tRNA base pairs to a conserved bulge in the T-box antiterminator hairpin.
Source: RNAcentral